UCCGGUGAACAUAUCCGAAAGGUCACACCCGACCCAUUCCGAACUCGGUAGUUAAGCUUUUGGAGCCGAUGAUAGUACUACAAGUGCGAAAGUAGGUAUCGCCGGAU
Molecule: ribosomal RNA, 107 nt
Filed under: Planctomycetaceae bacterium
Lineage: Bacteria; Pseudomonadati; Planctomycetota; Planctomycetia; Planctomycetales; Planctomycetaceae
Source: RNAcentral